Molecule: ribosomal RNA, 254 nt
Filed under: uncultured bacterium
Lineage: Bacteria
Description: partial 16S ribosomal RNA
Rfam family: Bacterial small subunit ribosomal RNA
Source: RNAcentral
UACGUAGGGUGCAAGCGUUGUCCGGAUUUAUUGGGCGUAAAGAGCGUGUAGGCGGCCAGACAGGUCUGCUGUGAAAACUCGAGGCUCAACCUCGAGACGCCGGUGGAAACCGUCUGGCUAGAGUCCGGAAGAGGAGUGUGGAAUUCCCGGUGUAGCGGUGAAAUGCGCAGAUAUCGGGAAGAACACCCGUGGCGAAGGCGGCACUCUGGGACGGUACUGACGCUGAGACGCGAAAGCGUGGGGAGCGAACAGGA